This 1079-nucleotide long non-coding RNA is filed under the name Homo sapiens (human). Its description in RNAcentral is "NFIA antisense RNA 2, transcript variant 2 (NFIA-AS2)". The record is from RNAcentral. Lineage: Eukaryota; Metazoa; Chordata; Mammalia; Primates; Hominidae.
GCAAUUUGCAGUGGUUAGAAAUGACAAAGGAUGGGUGGUAGGAUCCAGAGAAAAAACAGUGAAACCCGAUGGACCUUAAAUAGAUCUGAGGGCACUGAUUUGAUUAUUUUGGGUGAAAUCUUUUAAGAAAAUCUUGUCAGAUUCUUCACAGAAAAUUUGGUAAAGCCUAUAUUUCAUCGCCAGCCUAGCAAAGGCAAGCUGGCAAACAGGGAAACAAGGAGAACUGUGUGCUCAGCCCUCCAGAGUGGCACGGAUUAUGAGGAGGUGAUGGUCCUUCCCCGCCAAGAUCCUGAGACACUGUCACUCCGGAAUCCAAAAAGAGAUUCAGAUACCAUGAAAGGAUUUGAGCGUUUUUUUAUGUGAAUCCAAAGAUGACAUUUACAAAAGGUGGAGAAGCAGUUCCCUACUGAGGGACGUGGAUACAAAAAGCAGAUGACACAACACAUCCCAUAGAGUUCCCAGGGAAGAAUGAACCCAGAUUCUUGACCUGCAGAGGUGGCGUACUGGCUGGAGAAAUCUCUGGCUGGCGACCGUGCUAUUCUGUCUGUCCACCUAACUGUGGGCUCCCAGAUCACCACUGCCAUGGGCAGGGGGCCGUGGGGUGGGCCUGCUUGGGGUGACAGGCUAGCUGUGCUCCCAUAGCAGAGGUGGGAGAAGGGAAUCACAUCUGGUGAGCAGCUAUGUCGUGCCAGGCACUGUGCUGUGUAUUGCACACAUCUCAAACCUUGUGACAAAUGUGUAAGAUAUUUUUUAUGUAUUACAAAUGAAGGAACUGGGCUCAGAAAAGCUCCAUUAUUUGCCCAAAUUGCAGCAGUAAUGCAGGAAUUUGAAUCCACAUUAAUCUGACUCCACAACCCAUGUUCUUUCACUGAAUUCCCAUAUCCUUGUUCCCCCUACUGUCCUCACUGGUCAAGGUGAGCUUGGUCUUCCACAAACAGGCUAGAAAAGUAUGCUUACUUAUCUUUAGCUUUAUGCUUUUAAACUAAUUCUUAAAAAUCUUCUCUGGAUAAGUCAAAGACAAUGGGAAUGUGUAUUUCUAAUACAUUAAUUAUAAUACAUUACCGGUUUACACAAUGCCA